AUGUGGGGAGGAAUUCUGAGUCUUAUGGAAGUUACCAGAAGAUAAAAAAUUGAAAUCCCAUGUCAACCCACUUGUUGAUGACAUGUCACAAGCUUGUAUAAGCCUCCUCAGCCACGAGGGCACCAGGCUGUUGGACUCAUUCCCCUGGAGUAAGAUUGAUAAGCACAUUCCACUAAGAACAGAUGUAGCUGUGAGAGGCCAGAAGCCAGUUUACUAGAAGACACAGAGGGACUGGAGAGGCUUGUGCAAGCUUUUUGAUUGUGGCUUGGAGUUUUUGUGAACGGCCAAAGAAGGGAGACUUUCUGGGGAUGUUCCAGUGAAACUCUUAUUCAAGCUGUAUCCCUUUUUCCAGGAAGAUGUUAAGGCUGGUUACUCAGAAAAACUUUACUGUGGUAUAAUUUGCAUACCAUGAAAUUCACCAACUCUGUGGGGAUUAUGACCCAUUACAGCCUUCCUCUACCCGGAUCUGAGAGUUUACAAAGAGCACAGCCCCACUGCCAACCAUUAAUGAACA
This is a non-coding RNA of Kogia breviceps (pygmy sperm whale), 514 nucleotides long. The record is from RefSeq and is a predicted model, not a curated record. NCBI's taxonomy places the organism in Eukaryota, Metazoa, Chordata, Mammalia, Artiodactyla, Physeteridae.